CGCCCGUUCGUCUAGCGGGCAGGACACCGCCCUUUCAAGGCGGCGACGAGGGUUCGACUCCCUCACGGGUGA
This 72-nucleotide transfer RNA is filed under the name Aquisphaera giovannonii. RNAcentral describes it as "Isosphaera-like str. OJF2 tRNA". It matches the Rfam family "tRNA". Rfam says of the family: Transfer RNA (tRNA) molecules are approximately 80 nucleotides in length. The record is from Rfam by way of RNAcentral. Lineage: Bacteria; Pseudomonadati; Planctomycetota; Planctomycetia; Isosphaerales; Isosphaeraceae.